GCAGAACGCGAAGAACCUUACCCACACUUGACAUCCCUCUUGGGACUUCCAGAGAUGAGUAGUUUUCGGUUCGGCCGGGGAGGAGACAGGUGCUGCAUGGCUGUCGUCAGCUCGUGUCGUGAGAUGUUGGGUUAAGUCCCGCAACGAGCGCAACCCUUAUCGUCUGUUGCCAUCAUUAAGUUGGGCACUCUGACGAGACCGCCGGUGACAAGCCGGAGGAAGGUGGGGACGACGUCAAGUCAUCAUGGCCCUUACGUGUGGGGCUACAAACGUGCUACAAUGGUGGUGACAGUGAGCAGCGAGGUCGCGAGGCCAAGCUAAUCUCCAAAAGCUCUCUCAGUUCAGAUUGUAGUCUGCAACUCGACUACAUGAAGUUGGAAUCGCUAGUAAUCGCAAAUCAGCAUGUUGCGGUGAAUACGUUCCCGGGUCUUGUACACACCG
Molecule: ribosomal RNA, 441 nt
Filed under: uncultured bacterium
Lineage: Bacteria
Description: bacterial SSU rRNA
Rfam family: Bacterial small subunit ribosomal RNA
Source: RNAcentral